UAGAUGUAUGUUUUGAAGUAUUUACAAAUUCUAAAAUAAUUGCAAUCUAAAAUUUAUAAUCAAACAUGUAAAUUUUACCUCGUUCUCUGACAUAGCAUCAUGGAGAUCUUUGCAUGUCCACAACCUACUCCACUUUAUAGGCUCUUUAGGUGAUACUUCCCGAACAAUACACCUUCCCAAAUCCACUAACAAGCUAUGCAUACCUAUGGACCUCCCAUGUCUGGUAAUGAGUGAUUUAUCAAUGAGAACUUGUAUGCUAUCUUCAGGAUGAAAUCCACGGAAAUUUAGAAUUUCCUUCAAAUGUUCUUCGUGAUAAAAAUUGAAGAAGCAAGCAAUAUCCAAAAAUGUUUGUUUGUAUUUUUCUUCCAGUUGAAUAUAACUUAUGCGCAAAAUAUCCAUAAUAUUUUUACUUUUAUUUUCUUUUAGCCCUUCCAAUACACUUUUCCAUUGUGACAAACUUCGGCCAAGCAAAGAUGACCCAAUUGUUUCAAUUGCCAAGGGAUGCCCUUCAACAUGUGAUAGUAUUUCAUCUGCCAACUUUUCAUAAUCGCUCAAAAUAUAAUUAUCUUUGAAAGCAUUUCUACAAAAUAGUUGGAUAGCAUCUUCUCGUAUCAACGGUCGAACUUGAUAAAUAUCAUCCACUCCAUGUAUCUUCAAUAUUUGUUCAUCCCUAGAAACUAUGAUGAUUCUGCUCCCUUUACCUAAGCAUUCUCGCAACAAAUUGUCUCUAUUUCCGCUAAAUAUCCUCAGUUGUUGAACUUGAUCAACGUUGUCAAAAACUAUAAGUGUCUUAGCAUUGUUCAGUUUGGACUGCACCAAACAUGUUCCCUCGAUAACAUUGCAAAUCUCUACAUUUUUCUCAUUUAGAGUCUGAGAAAUUAAUUGCUUUUGUAAGCCCAACGAACGAGAAUCUACAAAUAUUUUGCUUACAUCAUCAAUAAAACAACGAUAAUUAUAUUGAUGACAAAUUCUUUCAUAUAAAGCCCGAGCAAGAGUUGUCUUUCCUAUACCACCCAUCCCACUUAUUCCGACAACUCGAACAUCGUUACGAAGGUCGAAACGCAAAAUAUUUCCUAAGUCUUGAACUCGAUCCUCUAUCCCAACUAGUUCAUCCCUUGGAAAAUUUAAAAUUUUUGGUCUCAAAUUAUUUAUUAUCUCUUGAACAAUUUUUUCAAUCUGUUCAUUCUGUGACCUGAAAAUUUAAAUGAAAUGAAGGCAAAACAUCAUGAACAGAACAUGAAAAGAGUAUAUACAUUUUUAGGAUAAAAUAUUAACGUAAAAAAUUUUAACUUAUUUUCAUUAAAUUAGUAUAUAUUUGGACUCAAUUACCUCUGUUUUUAAAUAAUGACAACGCAAAUCAUAAUUAGCAUAAAGAAAGUCUUAGAAAGCUAUAAGAUAUUGUGAUUAGUCUAUAAGCAAAAAUAGCUAAAAAGAUGCAGAAUACAAUAUAUAUAUAUAUAUAUAUAUAUAUAUAUAUAUAUNAUAAUAUUUUUACUUUUAUUUUCUUUUAGCCCUUCCAAUACACUUUUCCAUUGUGACAAACUUCGGCCAAACAAAGAUGACCCAAUUGUUUCAAUUGCCAAGGGAUGUCCUUCAACAUGUAAUAGUAUCUCACGUGCCAACUUUUCAUAAUCGCUCAGAAUGUAAUUAACUUUGAAAGCAUUUCUACAAAAUAGUUGGAUAGCAUCUUUCCAUAUCAACGGUCGAACUUGAUAAAUAUCAUCCACUCCAUGUAUCUUCAAUAUUUGUUCAUCCCUAGAAACUAUGAUGAUUCUGCUCCCUCCACCUAAGCAUUCUCGUAACAAAUUGUCUCUAUUUCCGCUAAAUAUCCUCAGUUGUUGAACUUCAUCAACGUUGUCAAAAACUAUAAGUGCUUUAGCAUUGUUCAGUUUGGACUGCACCAAACAUGUUCCCUCGAUAACAUUGCAAAUCUUUACAUUUUUCUCAUUUAGAGUCUGAGAAAUUAAUUGCUUUUGUAAACCCAAUGAAUGAGAAUCUAGAAAUAUUUUGCUUACAUCAUCAAUAAAACAUCGAUAAUUAUAUUGAUGACAAAUUCUUUCAUAUAAAGCCCGAGCAAGAGUUGUCUUUCCUAUGCCAUCCAUUCCACUUAUUCCGACAACUCGAACAUCAUUAAGGAGAUCGAAACGCAAAAUAUUUUCUAAGUCUUGAACUCGAUCCUCUAUCCCAACUAGUUCAUCCCUUGGAAGAUUUAAAAUUUUUGGACUCAAAUUAUUUAUUAUCUCUUGAACAAUUUUUUCAAUCUGUUCAUUUUGUGGCCUGAAAAUUUAAAUGAAAUGAAGACAAAAUAUCAUAACAUGAAAAAAGUAUAUACAUUUUUUAGAUAAAAUAAUAACGUAAAAAAUUUUAAGUGUCAAACUAGUAUUUUCAUUAAAUUAGUAUAUAUUUGGACUCAAUUAGCUCUGCUUUUAGAUAAGGCAUAACACAAAUCAUAAUUACCAUAAAGAAAGUCUUAGAAAGCUAUAAGAUAUUGUGAUUAGUCUAUGAGCAAAAAUAGCUAAAAAGAUGCAGAAUACAGUAUAUAUAGGCCACCGCAGUUUAAUUUGUGUAAAGCACUUCCAAAUAUCAAUAAAGCUAGAUUUGUCAUAAAAUCAAUUGAGGUUAGUAAUUAUUGAAUUGAGAGAGAAGAGUGCUCACUUAUUUCCGAUUUCCGAACCAGAGAUAUCGGCCACUUUUCUGAGAGCUUCUUUCCAUCUUUGAACUUCCUCCAUCUUCACCUUAUCUUCUCUGAAUCUAUUUUCGUGUUCUGCAAAUGCUUUCUCAUAACAUCCUUUCUGAUUGCGCACCGUCGUAGGCUCAACAUCAUAAAAGAUAGGUAUAAGAGGUCUUGCUGAAGUUUCAGAGCAAUUAAGUAUCUCUACCAGUUCACGCAAGCACCAAGUGGAAGAAGCAUAGUUCUUUGAUAAGACAACAACAAAAACUUGAGAGUCCCGAAUGGCUUGUAGAAGCUCGGGUGCUAUGAAAUCACCUUUUUUGAUACAUUGGUCAUCUUUGAAGGCAAGAAUGCCUUGUCGAUGGAGAGCUCCAAAGAGAAAACUAGUGAAGUUGUUGCGCGUGUCUUCACCACGGAAGCUGACAAAUACAUCGUAUGCAUUAGAUGAAGAAGAGGUGCGAUGGAUGAUGGCGUCGGAAGCUGGUACGGAAGGUCCGAUAGGAGCUGUUGGGUCAGACACGGUCAUGCAGUCGGACAUGCCGGACAUGAUCCGGUCCGGUUCUUUGACAAACCGGAGGAUACGGCGGAGAAUGUUGAAGACAGGCGAAUACAUCAUUAAGAAAAUCAGAAACGAAAUGUAGUCCCACUGAAUUCGUCGAAGUGAGAGAUAAUUGUUAUUAGGGCCUGACUUUAUGGAGAAAGGAAUUCUAAAGUUAACGCGUUUCACUUUUAUUGUCUCUUUCGGUGAUUUUUUCGUUGAAGCUUCUUACAAAAAUCAUUAACGCGUUUGUUUUUAUUUGGUUAUUUUGUUUUGUCUUUUUGUGAAGAAUGAUGGGAGCCACCAUGUUUGUCCUUCCUCAUACAUUGUCAUAUGCUUUCCAGCUACACAAGAUGUAAUUUCAUAUGUGCCAAUUUAAGGAGUAAGGAUCUUCUUCCUUCACUACACGAGAUACUGAUCUGGAAACAAAACUAAAACAGGGGAUCUCCAUAGUCAUUCUCUAAUCCUAUUUUUAUUUUGGAUCUGUUCUUAUUUUCAUUUCAUACACCUUUCUAUGAUAACCGCUACUAUGUUUUUAUUAUUUUCCUUAUUUUACAUAAGUAUUUAAUAUUAUAAAACAAAAAGAUAAAAAAAAUAAUAAAAAAAGAGAUAAAACAUUAAAAUAACUAAAAUUGGUUUGUUAUGUUUAUUGUCUUUAAUAUUUCUUUUAAUAAUUAAAUAAAUAAAGUUUCUUUAUUUUCUAUUUUAUUUUGAUCAUUUAUAUGUUUUUUUUUCAUUUAAUAAAAUUUAUAGAAUAAAAGAUAUUAAAAAAUGUAAUUUUAUAUGUGCCAAUUGAGGUCUAACAUGUCUUACAGGUUCACAAAUUUCUACCUUUAACAAGAAAGUGGGCCGACAAAGAAGAAGAAAUCCUGUCUUUAACAAUCCACCUCUUAAAAAUUGGAUUUCAUUAAAUAAAUGCAUUUCAUUAAGAAUCCAUCUCACUCUGUCAUAAGAGAAUUUUUGUGAGAAAUUAAAUGUCAUCUUAUUAACCUUGUAUAUAUUUAAACGGUAUGUAGUUAAUUAUUUAAACGUCAUUUACAAAAAUGAUUAUCAUGCGAUUGUACCCAUCAUCUUAAUACUCAUUACGUAAAAUCUAAAUACCAUAUUCAAAUACCAAAGAAAAUAUAUAUCCAAAAAUCUAAAAACAUAAACAUUCUCAUACAAUUGGUCAGUCAAAAUUACGCAAUCCUUAUUCUCCAUCAAGAGUUGAGAUACGUAGGAACAAAGCGAGUCUUUAUCAGGUUCACCUCCCAAACAUCCAAAAUUAUCCAUUAUCAUUUUCAAUCAUAUUUUUCAAACAAAUUUCCAAAUCAUUUUUAAACAUAUUUUUCAAAAGAACUACGUAACCCUACUUUCUAUGAUGUCUGAGAAUAUAUAGGUCAAUCCUUGUCGGGCUUCGUAAAAUUAAAAAAUAUUGUUUUGUUUCCUAUGUCUUUUUGUAUUAUUAUUUUCGGGAAAAAUAAUCAUUUUGAAAACCACAUCAAGUUCGUAAACCAAGCCUUAUUUUUAUGGCUUUUUCGUAGUUUUUUAGGAUAAACUAUGGUGGCGACUCAAAACUCUGAUUUUCGAACUUCUUUAUUAUUUUAAAAGUUUCGCUAAUACUCCGUCGUUAUCCCGGUUGCGACAUCUCCCACAGUUACGGCGAGACUUCGAUGGGUCUUGACCAUCAACGAGGUCAAUGACAACCGUCUCUUCAUCGCCAUUUCCUCUUCAUCGCCAGACCCAAAACAGAGUUUCUUCUUUCUCCCCCACAAUUUCGAUAAGACUCUAAUGGGCCUUUAAUAUCAACAUGCGUAUCACCCCCUCCCCUUCUUUCUCUAUUUUGUUUCUUUCUCGAUUUGUAUCCAUUCUGAGGGUGAUUGAGGCUGAUUGGGUGCAUUCUAAUGGGUUGUNGCUACCAAAUAGAGAUGGUGAAGCUGAUAAUUCCUCGCGACAAUUGGCAUCAUUUCUGAACUGUGGCAAAUUGUGUUUAAUUGUUUGAGAUGAUUAUGUAAUUUGUUGGAUUGUUGGAUGAUUUAUUUGAUUGUGCAAUUCGUUUAUUGGAUUGUUCGAUGAUUUAUUUGAUUGUGAAAUUCGUUUGUUGUAUUGUUGAACUUUAAUUUGUAUGCUUUUAUUAUACACACAAACAUUUUGGACAAAAAAUCCCUAAUUUAGCAUAACACAUUUUAUUUUAUUUAAAUUUUAGUUUUUUAAAACUUAAAAUAAUUAAAUUUCACAUAAUGUAACCUAACUUUGCCACAUGCUUCACAUUUGAAAAGUCAGCAUGUCACCCCACUGUCGUCUUAACGCCAUCUCAUUGCAAUCUUAACGUCGUUAACUCAAAUUGACGACAAUGGUGCAAUUGAAUCAAUUUUACGCCAUGAAGGAUCAAAUCUCAAGACAAGAUUCGUCCAACGGUCAUAUUAUCAUCAAAUCUCAAGAUAAACAUUGUGUAAAUGACUAUAUCAUCAAAGGUGUAUAAAUAGAUGAUCAAGAGAAGAAGAAAGAUAAUGACGAUGAUAGGAAGAAAAAUAGCAUGAAGACAAAUUAUCAUUAGAGUUGAGCAAGAAAUUUUUUUUGAGCUAUUAGAGUUAAUUCCUUUUACACAAGAGUAGAGAGAAAGAGAAGAGCUCAAGGAAAAAGAAAAAAUCUCUCGGGCUUCAUACAAAUUUGCUAAAUUUGGAGCCAUUUCUACAAAUGUUAGAAAUUGAGAAAACAAAACCCAUACAAAUUUGUUUUUCCUUGAAAUAGUCUAGUUCUAAUCUUUAUCUAUAUCAUUUUUCUUCGUAGAAGAUUCAGUUAAACUUUUGAAUUCUGAAAAUUUGAAAAGAAAAAAUAAGGAUUUAAAUAGUUUUUGGGUAACCACGGACCAUAUAGUUUAAGAAAAUAUUUUUUUAAUAAGAAUAGCAUUUAUUUUCUUGAUUUCCGUGAUCAGAAUAACAAAAAUAUGUGUUCGAUUUUAACUAUUUUUAAUAUUUAAAAAAUUAUGAAAUAAUUUUAUCAAUUUUGAAUAAUAUGAAUAAUUUGUAUUUGUAUUAAACAUUUUAUUAAAUAAAUUAUGUUAAAUGGUGAUAGAAUAAUCUAACAAUCAUAAUAGAAUCCAUCAUAAGAAAAUGUUGCAUCCAACUGUUGUUUGAAAACUGCUUCCAUUCCAACACAACUUAUGAUGACCAUUUUUUGUGCAAAAUGCAACCUCCUCAUAGACCCCUGUGAUAUUGCAACAGAAUAAGCAAAAUGCUAGAACGAAUAGAAAGCAACACAAUCCUAUAAAAUGUGAACAUCACAAAGACCAAAGGCGUAAGCAUUUAAACAAAGGGAAUGAAGUGGAAUAAAAUCCAGAGGUUAGCAUGACACAAUAUUAUAUAUAAUAUGACUUUGAUUAAAAUGAAGUUCCUAUAUUAUUACAUAAUAACAUUUUCAGUUCCAAAGUCAAUGACACCAACUUGAAAUCACGACAGCAACAAAAUCACUAGCAUGAGUGGAUACAAACAACCAAAAAAAUGUCGCAUGUUUCCCCUUCAAACCUUAUGUCAAUGAUAAAUUAACUGAUGCUCCAAAGGAGAAAAUUUUGUCUUUUAUAUAGGGGCUAAAUACCUGACUUUCUUGAUCAUAAUGGCAAUGUAUCAACUUUGUACCGAUUAGUAGUAAUAUAUUGACCAUUUUGAUUUACAUAAUAAUUUAUAAUAGUUUAUAAAAUUAAUGAUGUCAAUUUAUAAAUAAGAUCUAUGUACUGAUUAAUCAUUGCCAAUUUCAAUCAAAUAACAUUAGAAAAUAUUAAGAAAAAAAUAAUUACAGUAAAGUGUAAAAAGUCUUACCUUUUAGUGUUAUUGUAGAACCAAAUUGUAUAGUCAUUAGAAACCAAAUUGAACGCUGAAGAGAGAGCUCCUAUUUCUUCAAACUAUGGGAAUUUGAAUGCAGUGCUGCUUCUGUUUCUACUGUGUCUCUCUCUGCUUAAAUACGGUAACUAACCGUUUUCCUCAAUUACGGAAAUCUUGCCCUUCCGACCUGUCAAAUUUGCACAAUGCGUCAUUUUGAAGUUAAUUAGGUCUUCUUCAUUUACCCAGCGAUACUGAAAUUUCUUCACCGUAACAAAAUUCCUAGAAGUCUUAUAACUCAACAAUAAGUCAAUCAUCCUCAAACGGAAAUGAUAAGGAUGAAUACCACGUUCGUCCAUAGAAACCUUUUCAUAAUGUAAGCACAUGUGAUCUCUUCUAAAAUCCAUUGGAAUUUGUUCAUUUUUUAGUUCGUCUAUAGAAACCUUUCCAUAAUGUAAGCACAUGUGAUCUCUUCUAAAAUCCAUUGGAAUNUGAGAGCUUCUUUCCAUCUUUGAACUUCCUCCAUCUUCACCUUAUCUUCUCUGAAUCUAUUUUCGUGUUCUGCAAAUGCUUUCUCAUAACAUCCUUUCUGGUUGCGCACCGUCGUAGGCUCAACAUCAUAAAAUAUAGGUAUAACAGGUCUUACUGAAGUUUGACAGCAAUUAAGUAUCUCUACCAGUUCACGUAAGCACCAAGUGGAGGAAGCAUAGUUCUUUGAUAAGACAACAACGAAAACUUGAGAGCCCUGAAUAGCUUGUAGAAGCUCGGGUGCUAUGAAAUCACCUUUUUUGAUACAUUCGUCAUCUUUGAAGGCAACAAUGCCUUGUCGAUGGAGAGCUCCAAAGAGAAAACUAGUGAAGUUGUUGCGCGUGUCUUCACCACGGAAGCUGACAAAUACAUCGUAUGCAUUAGAUGAAGAAGAGAUGCGAUGGAUGAUGGCGUCGGACGCUGGUACGGAAGGUCCGAUAGGAGCUGUUGGGUCAGACACGGUCAUGCAGUCGGACAUGCCGGACAUGAUCCGGUCCGGUUCUUUGACAAACCGGAGGAUACGGCGGAGAAUGUUGAAGACAGGCGAAUACAUUUAUUCAGGAAAUCAGAAAGCAAACUGAGUCCCACUGAAUUCCUGGAAGUGAGAGAUAAUUGUUAUUAGGGCAAGUAAGGGAGUGGCCUGACUUUAUGGAGAAAGGAAUUCUAAAGUUAACGCGUUGAAUUUUUGCAGUCUCUUUCUGUGAUUUUUUCGUUGAAGCUUCUUACAAAAAUCGUUAACGCGUUUGUUUUUGUUUUGUCUUUUUGUGAAGAAUGAUGGGAGCCACCAUGUUUGUCCUUCCUCAUACAUUGUCAUAUGCUUUUCCGUCAACUUGCCCCGGACAUCAUAAUGACACAUAUUCAAGAAAUCCUUUUUAAAAAGAAGAUCCACAUGCACCCAAACUGAAGGAGUAAGGAAGUGCAUUGAUAGGGGAUCUUCUUCCUUCACUACACGAAAUACUGAUCUGGAAAAAAACUAAAACAGGGGAUCUCCAUAGUCAUUCUCUAAUCCUAUUUUUAUUUUGGAUCUGUUUUUAUUUUCAUUUCAUACACCUUUCUAUGAUAACCGCUCCGAUGUUUUGCUUAUUUUCCUUAUUUUACAUUUUAACUACUGUUGUCCACUCUCAUUUUUAAUAAGUAUUUAAUAUUAUAAAACAAAAAGAUAAAAAAAAUAAUAAAAAAAAGAGAUAAAACAUUAAAAUAACUAAAAUUGGUUUGUUAUGUUUAUUGUCUUUAAUAUUUCUUUUAAUAAUUAAAUAAAUAAAGUUUCUUUAUUUUCUAUUUUAUUUUGAUCAUUUAUAUGUUUUUUUUUCAUUUAAUAAAAUUUAUAGAAUAAAAGAUAUUAAAAAAUGUAAUUUUAUAUGUGCCAAUUGAGGUCUAACAUGUCUUACAGGUUCACAAAUUUCUACCUUUAACAAGAAAGUGGGCCGACAAAGAAGAAGAUAUCCUGUCUUUAAAAAUCCACCUCUUAAAAAUUGGAUUUCAUUAAAUAAAUCGCAUUUAUUUGAGAAUCUAUCUCGCUCUGUCAAAAGAGAAUUUCGGUGGGAAGUUAAAUAUCAUCUCAUUAGCCUUGUAUAUAUUUAAAAGGUCUGUCGUUAAUUAUUUAAACGUCGUUUGCAAAAAUGAUUAUCAUGCGAUUGUACCUAUCAUCUUAAUGCUCAUUACGCAAAAUCAAAAUAUCAUAUCAAAAUACCAAAGAAAAAAUAUAUCCAAAAAUCUAAAAACAUAAACAUUCUCAUACAAUCGGUGAGUCAAAAUUAUGCAAUCCUUGAUUCUCCAUCAAGAGUUGAGAUACGUAGGAGCAAAGCGAGUCUUUAUCAGGUUCACCUCCCAAACAUCCAAAAUUAUCCAUUAUCAUUUUCAAUCAUAUUUUUCAAACAAAUUUCUAAAUCAUUUUCAAACAUAUUUUUCAAAAGAACUACGUAACCCUACUUUCUAUGAUGACUGAGAAUAUAUAGGUCAAUCCUUGUCGGGCUUCGUAAAAUUAAAAAAUAUUGUUUUGUUUCCUAUGUCUUUUUGUAUUAUUAUUUUCAGGAAAAAUAAUCAUUUUGAAAAUCACAUCAAGUUUGUACAUUUAAUUAAAGGUACUGUCUUGGAGAAAACAUUGAAGGGUUUUAAUACCUUCUCUACAUGUAAUCGACUUCCGAACUCAAAACUCUGAUUUCGUAAACCAAGCCUUAUUUUUAUGGCUUUUUCAUAGUUUUUUAGGAUAAACUAUAGUGGCGACUCAAAACUCUGAUUUUCGAACUUCUUUAUUAUUUUAAAAGUUUCGCUAAUACUUCGUCGUUAUCCCGGUUGCGACAUCCCCCACAGUUACGGCGAGACUUCAAUGGGUCUUGACCAUCAACGAGGUCAACGACAACCGUCUCUUCACCGCCAUUUCCUCUUCAUCGCCACACCCAAAACAGAGUUUCUUCUUUCUCCCCCACAAUUUCGAUAAGACUCUGAUGGGCCUUUAAUAUCAACAUGCGUAUCACCCCCUCCCCUUCUUUCUCUAUUUUGUUUCUUUCUCGAUUUGUAUCCAUUCUGAGGGUGAUUGAGGCUGAUUGGGUGCAUUCUAAUGGGUUGUNGCUACCAAAUAGAGAUGGUGAAGCUGAUAAUUCCUCGCGACAAUUGGCAUCAUUUCUGAACUGUGGCAAAUUGUGUUUAAUUGUUUGAGAUGAUUAUGUAAUUUGUUGGAUUGUUGGAUGAUUUAUUUGAUUGUGCAAUUCGUUUAUUGGAUUGUUCGAUGAUUUAUUUGAUUGUGAAAUUCGUUUGUUGUAUUGUUGAACUUUAAUUUGUAUGCUUUUAUUAUACACACAAACAUUUUGGACAAAAAAUCCCUAAUUUAGCAUAACACAUUUUAUUUUAUUUAAAUUUUAGUUUUUUAAAACUUAAAAUAAUUAAAUUUCACAUAAUGUAACCUAACUUUGCCACAUGCUUCACAUUUGAAAAGUCAGCAUGUCACCCCACUGUCGUCUUAACGCCAUCUCAUUGCAAUCUUAACGUCGUUAACUCAAAUUGACGACAAUGGUGCAAUUGAAUCAAUUUUACGCCAUGAAGGAUCAAAUCUCAAGACAAGAUUCGUCCAACGGUCAUAUUAUCAUCAAAUCUCAAGAUAAACAUUGUGUAAAUGACUAUAUCAUCAAAGGUGUAUAAAUAGAUGAUCAAGAGAAGAAGAAAGAUAAUGACGAUGAUAGGAAGAAAAAUAGCAUGAAGACAAAUUAUCAUUAGAGUUGAGCAAGAAAUUUUUUUUGAGCUAUUAGAGUUAAUUCCUUUUACACAAGAGUAGAGAGAAAGAGAAGAGCUCAAGGAAAAAGAAAAAAUCUCUCGGGCUUCAUACAAAUUUGCUAAAUUUGGAGCCAUUUCUACAAAUGUUAGAAAUUGAGAAAACAAAACCCAUACAAAUUUGUUUUUCCUUGAAAUAGUCUAGUUCUAAUCUUUAUCUAUAUCAUUUUUCUUCGUAGAAGAUUCAGUUAAACUUUUGAAUUCUGAAAAUUUGAAAAGAAAAAAUAAGGAUUUAAAUAGCUUUUGGGUAACCAGGGACCAUAUAGUUUAAGAAAAUAUUUUUUUAAUAAGAAUAGCAUUUAUUUUCUUGAUUUCCGUGAUCAGAAUAACAAAAAUAUGUGUUCGAUUUUAACUAUUUUUAAUAUUUAAAAAAUUAUGAAAUAAUUUUAUCAAUUUUGAAUAAUAUGAAUAUAUUUGUAUUUGUAUUAAACAUUUUAUUAAAUAACUUAUGCUAAAUGGUGAUAGAAUAAUCUAACAGUCAUAAUAGAAUCCAUCAUCUUGAUAAAGGGUGGUGAUAUUUUGAAUCCACUAAAUAAAAACUUCUCACUUAACUACUUAAAAUAAUAAUAAUAUUUUAAUCACAGUUAUUUUACUUUUUAAUUUAAAAUUUCAAUAAUAAGUGAAUUGUGAAGUGGUCCUAUUUUAUUUGAAGGAUGUCAAAGUAUUAUUUUUCCUUGACAAAACCAACAGUAAAUACAAUCCAGAAUGCAAACAUGUAACUUUUGGCUCAGAAUCUGUACGUUGUCAUGUAUAUGUAAUUUUGUUUCAUACUGUACAGCUCUUAAGAUUUUCUCUUAGCUUCUUUACCAAAUUAAGUGUUUUAUAUAAUUCAUAUAUGAAUUUAUAGCUUUUGAAAAUCUUAAAAGAGCUCAUUUCAAGUGCAUCUCUUCUUUAUGCUUUUGAAAACCUUUAGUACAUAUCAUACUAGAAGCAUAUUAAAUAAAUUAUCAUAAGAAAAUGUUGCAUCCAACUGUUGCUUGAAAACUGCUUCCAUUCCAACACAACUUAUGAUGACCAUUUUUUGUGCAAAAUGCAACCUCCUCAUAGACCCCUGUGAUAUUACAACACAAUAAGCAAAAUGCUAGAAUGAAUAGAAAGCAACGAAAUCCUAUAAAAUGUGAACAUCACAAAGACCAAAGGCGUAAGCAUUUAAGCAAAGGAAAUUAAGUGGAAUAAAAUCCAGAGGUUAGCAUCAUAUAAUAUUAUAAUAUGACUUUGAUUAAAAUGAAGUUAUUACAUAAUAACAUUUUCAGUUCCAAAGUCAAUGACACCAACUUGAAAUCACGACAGCAACAAAAUCACUAGCAUGAGUGGAUACAAACAACNCAUAAUGUAAGCACAUGUGAUCUCUUCUAAAAUCCAUUGGAAUUUGUUCAUUUUUUAGUUCGUCUAUAGAAACCUUUCCAUAAUGUAAGCACAUGUGAUCUCUUCUAAAAUCCAUUGGAAUAUGUCUAUUGUGUAGACGAAAUAUUACGCAACACAAAACACCAAUGAAAUUAUUGUCAUGCGGAACGGGAGGUGGAUCAACGAUUAGGUUUUUUUCGUCCAGGUAUUCUUGGUCCACGUUCACAAACUCAUUGUUGAACAAGCUCGGUAUUUGACUUCCAGGCAUAAUAGUUACACGAGCUAUCCAUUGGUAUUGGUAGGUCGCCUUGUACCAGCAGAGUUAUUCGUCAGUAGUUAUUCUGAUAAAAGAAAAAUUAAAAUGCAAGAGGAAGGAAAGAGCAUCCACACCUCAAAAAUUUGUAUUGCCCAUGAAAAACUCUUUGUAAUGCACUGUUUAAUCUCAACUAAUUCUGGGCAGCCGAAAAUGAUAAAUCCUGCAACUUUCAAAAACAUUGAUGAAGAUCUCGUGACAGUUCGUGAAGGGAGAUCAGGCAAGUAUUUCAAUCGCUUGCAAUCCUGUAAGUUUAAAUAAUACAGUCUCAAAAGGUCCUUCAGGUUAGGCAAUCUAACAAAAUUGUUUUCCUCUAAAUUUAGGCUCUCUAAGCAACCUAACUUUCCAAUGUAAUCAGGAAUUUGAACUAAGUUACAGAACCUUAGAUUGAGUUCACACAAACAAGAGAGAGGAGAGGAGGGCGACAAACAUCUGAUCAAGUUCUCUGUGUUCAACCAAUUACUACCUAUUAUUGAACAAUAGCUGACAUCCAGAUAUUCAAGAGAUUUCAGGCCCAAUAUAGUAUUAGAUAAGAUUACUAGUUUUUUUGCAGUAUCUCAAAUUCAAAAGAACAAGCUUUCUCAGACUCUCAAUCGAUGGAUUCAGUUUUUGGAGCUGUCCACAUCCUUCAAGAUGUAUCGAUUGAAGAUUUGGGGCCUCUGUUACAUCUGGCAUCUCAACUAAACUUUGGCAAUGCAAGAGAUCCAAACGCUUCAAAUUGGGUAACGACUACAUAGAUGGAAAAAAAAAAUUAAUAAUGACACUUGGGUUUUCUUUAAUUUCUUUUCUCCAUAAAUUAAUCAAAGAAUAAAGGAAUUAAAAAUAAAAAGUUUGUCAUUCAUUUUGUUUAUUUUUAAAAGAAGUACAAAUAAAAAAUUAAUUUACACUACCUUUGUGCCUUCCCAUAAUCGUUGAAUACUACUCCAACGCAGCUUUAACUCAACUAGUUUGUGUGGUUGAAAACUUUGAGGCAAACAUUCAAACGGAUAAUUAUACCAAGUAAGAUAUCCUAGUUCAUUCAAAAGAUGAUUCAGACUUCCCGAAAAGUUAACGUUCGCCUUCACGUUCUCAACAUAAAGCAACUUCAGGUGUUUAAUUUUUGAUAGACCAUCCGCCUUGAUUGUUUUAUCUGUAAAUCAGUUGCAUGAUUCCGUAAAUUUAGAGGCUAUAUAUUAGGCAGUUUCUCAUUCAAUAAAACAGAGGAAUUUCUUCUUUCACACUACAACGUUUACGUACCUGGGAUUUCAACAUCAUCCUCAUCCUCAUCCAGGUGAUAUCUAAGAACUAUUGCCUCAAGGUUUCGAGUUGUCUAUAACAUCGCACAUUGUUAGUGUUAGAUCUGAAGAUAGGAAUAACUCUAAAUGUCCUCUGUUAGAGAAUGAAUUUUAUUAAUGCAAAAGGGUUGGCUUAUAUAAGCCACUAUAUCUAAAUGGCUACCAAAGCGGAAUAAAAAACUCAAUUAUCUCCUAAAUAAUAGGACAAUCUAACAGCUUUUAAUACUGCAGCUUUAUUAACUGACACGUAAAUAUAUUAACUGACACACGUAAAUAAUAACUUAAACUAACAGUUAGAUGCAUGUUUUGAAGUAUUUACAAAUUCUAAAGUAAUUGCAAUCGAAAAUUUAUAAUCAAACAUGUAAAUUUUACCUUGUUCUCUGACAUAGCAUCAUGGAAAUCUUUGUAUGUCCACAGCCUACUCCACUUUCUAGGCACUUUAGGUGAUACUUCCCGAACAAUACACUUCCCCAAAUCCACUAGCAAGCUAUGCAUACGUAUGUACCCUUUGAAAUCUUUGGUAAUGAGUGAUUUAUCAAUGAGAACCUGUAUGCUAUCUUCAGGAUGAAAUCCACGAAAAUUUAGAAUUUCCUUCACAUCUUUUUCAUAAUAAGAAUUGAAGAAGCAAGCAAUAUCCAAAAAUGUUUGUUUGUAUUUUUCUUCCAGUUGAAUAUAACUUAUGCGCAAAAUACCCAUAAUAUUUUUACUUUUAUUUUCUUUUAGCCCUUCCAAUACACUUUUCCAAUGUGACAAACUUCGGCCAAGCAAAGAUGACCCAAUUGUUUCAAUUGCCAAGGGAUGUCCUUCAACAUGUGAUAGUAUCUCACGUGCCAACUUUUCAUAAUCGCUCAAAAUNUAAUUANCUUUGAAAGCAUUUCUACAAAAUAGUUGGAUAGCAUCUUUCCUAUUCAACGGUCGAACUUGAUAAAUAUCAUCCACUCCAUGUAUCUUCAAUAUUUGUUCAUCCCUAGAAACUAUGAUGAUUCUGCUCCCUUUACCUAAGCAUUCUCGCAACAAAUUGUCUCUAUUUCCGCUAAAUAUCCUCAGUUGUUGAACUUCAUCAACGUUGUCAAAAACUAUAAGUGCCUUAGCAUUGUUCAGUUUGGACUGCACCAAACAUGUUCCCUCGAUAACAUUGCAAAUCUCUACAUUUUUCUCAUUUAGAGUCUGAGAAAUUAAUUGCUUUUAUAAGCCCAACGAACGAGAAUCUAGAAAUAUUUUGCUUACAUCAUCAAUAAAACAACGAUAAUUAUAUUGAUGACAAAUUCUUUCAUAUAAAGCCCGAGCAAGAGUUGUCUUUCCUAUGCCACCCAUCCCACUUAUUCCGACAACUCGAACAUCAUUAAGGAGAUCGAAAUGCAAAAUAUUUCCUAAGUCUUGAAGUCGAUCCUCUAUCCCAACUAGUUCAUCCCUAGGAAGAUUUAAAAUUUUUGGUCUCAAAUUAUUUAUUAUCUCUUGAACAAUUUUUUCAAUCUGUUCAUUUUGUGGCCUGAAAAUUUAAAUGAAAUG
RNAcentral lists this long non-coding RNA (15235 nucleotides) under Vigna radiata. RNAcentral's name for it is "long non-coding RNA (VRAD_LNC004167)". Lineage: Eukaryota; Viridiplantae; Streptophyta; Magnoliopsida; Fabales; Fabaceae. The record is from RNAcentral.